This 957-nucleotide long non-coding RNA is filed under the name Homo sapiens (human). RNAcentral's name for it is "HSALNT0177333". The record is from RNAcentral. Lineage: Eukaryota; Metazoa; Chordata; Mammalia; Primates; Hominidae.
GUAGAGACAAGAUCUCACUAUGUUACCCAGGCUGCUCUUGAAUUCCUGAGCUCAAGUGAUCCUCCUGCCACAGUCUCCCAAAGGGCUGAGAUUACAGGCAUGAGCCACCAUGACCAGCCUGAAAAAGAUUUUUUGAUUGGCCAAGAACUUUUAAAUUUAAAAACUAAAUUCCUGAAAGUCUGAAUUAUAUUAGCUAUGGAGUAAAAUGAGAAAAUAGAGGACUUUCAUUUUUACUUUAUUUCUAUACUUUAAAAAGUGCUUAAAAGCGUGUAUUAUUUUUAUAAUAAAUACAUUUGAUACAAGGUUUCAAAUGUUACUUUUCUAACAAAAUUGCAAUUUAAGGCUUUGGGGUUUUUUUGUUUGUUUUGUUUUUUGUUUUUGAGACAGCGUCUCACUCUGUCACCCAGGCUAGAGUGCAGUGGUGCAAUCUCAGCUCACUGCAACCUCCACCUCCUGGGUUCAAGCGAUUCUCCCACCUCAGCCUCCGGAAUAGUUGGGAUUACAGGCCGAGGCAGGCGGAUCACGAGGUCAAGAGAUCGACACCAUCCUUGCCAACAUGGUGAAACCCCUUCUCUACUAAAAAUACAAAAAUUAGCUGGGUGUGGUGAUGUGCGCCUGUAAGUCUCAGCUACUCGGGAAGCUGAGGCAGGAGAAUCACUUGAACCCAGGAGGCCGAGGUUGCAGUGAGCCAAGAUCGCGCCACUGCACCCCAGCCUGGCGACAGCGAGACUCUGUCUCAUAAAAUAAAAAUACAAUAAAAAAAAUCAAUAAGUGGUAAGACAACUCCAGGACCAAGGAGGAAGAGAUGUCCCUUUAUUGUAUUUUGUGUUAUAUGAUUUUAGGAUUCAAAAACCUACUUUAAGUUACCUAAUGUUCCACAAUAUAGCAGGUAUAUUUCUUUUAACCUAUUUAAGCCAUCAGACAGAAUAAACUUAUUUGGCCAGUACUUAAUGAAAG